Molecule: non-coding RNA, 1709 nt
Organism: Lolium perenne
Lineage: Eukaryota; Viridiplantae; Streptophyta; Magnoliopsida; Poales; Poaceae
Source: RefSeq, a predicted model, not a curated record
GGGGUCGACGGGGGAUCAAGAAGCCUCGUGGCCUAGGCUAGUGGCCCACAUUGCACUUGGUGGGUGCGCUGGCUUACCAUCUCCCCAAGUGGGAGAGUGGACGUCAUAAUUUGUGCUAGAGGGGUACGCGUCCGCGCGGCCCCUGCCAAUUCUUCGAAAUUAAACUUUAGUCCUUGGCCUGUCUUGCUCAAGGCGUUGAAAUCAGAUUUUUUGUAAGUUCUGGUCCAUAUUGAAGUCGAUCUGAUGAGUAAACUUCGUAACUAAAUCGAAAAGCUCCAGUUGCUGAAGUGAAUACAGUGGCAAACGGUGUCUGUCUCCCUUGCGUCUAGAGACCGGCGCGCCACCGCCGUUCUGGCCAUCGCAUCGAGCGCCUCCAACUCGCACUCCGGCCCUCGCAGCCCCCGUGUGCCCCACCCUCUCCACCGCGCCGCCAGCGCCACCCACCGUCGGCUCCGAGUGCGGACGCACGCACAGGGCGCUGAGGAUGCUUCGACGGGCGCCAGAGAUCGCGUCGCCGCCGCCAUUGCAGACAUGGACAAGUGCAGCGAGAAGCCCUCGCUGCUUCUGUGGGAACACCUAGGAUCGGGCACCACUGCAAGUGAAUGGCAGCAGAGGCGACGAUCUUGUGUGCAUCUAGGACCACCUUCGCUGCAUCGCUGCCUACCCCGACUUCAUGUUGCGUCGCUGUCAUGUUAAUUAAUAUUUUCUCCAUGUUAUUUGUUACAAACCUUCUUUUGGUGUCCACACCUGUCUUGACUGAAAUAUCGUACAAAGAAGUACAUGCCAUCGUCAUCUUCAUCGUCUUCAUGAUCCAAAGGAAAUGAUCUUGACUUUCCAACCCCAUGACCAUCGAAGCUUUAGCCCUACAAGAUGCUGUUGCUUUUGUGGUUAAGAGGAAUUACAAUCGUGUUGUGUUUGAGGUGGACUGCGCUGAUGUAAUGAUGUAAAAAGUACAAUUUGUUCACCUUCGCUGUGCAUCUAGGACCACCUUCGCUGUGCCGCUGCGUACCCCGACUCCAGGUUGCGUCGCCGUCAUGUUAACUAAUAUUUCUCCAUGUUAUGUGUUACAAACCUUCUUUUGGCGACAUAAUUCCUACACAUGUUUUAUAUUUAGAUUUCGUUUGAUGGGCACUAGUCCACACCUGUCUUGACUUGAAAUAUGGUACAAAGAAGUACAUGCCAUCGUCAUCUUCAUCGUCUUCAUGAUCUAGCGUCUGUCCGCAAUGAGAAAGAAUGUUCUGGCCCAGUGCUAUGGCAGUGACAUUACUCGCAAAAGGAAGUUGGUAGAGAAGCAAAAUGAAGGGAAGAAGCGCAUGAAACGAGUAGGAUCCGUCAGUAUUCCUCAAGAAGCAUUCCAUGAGCUACUAAAGGUCUCCAGUUCAAAAUACUUGAGCUGUAUUUUAGUGUUUUAGCCUCAUAUAGUCAUCUUCUAGAAGGUAAGUUUUCUUAUGUGGUUCUGCACAUCAUGUCUCCAGCUUCCAGAGUAUAGCCUGGUCUGCAUCAUAGUUCACCGGGUAUAUACUGCUGUUUUGAGUUGAAGAGUGUAGCAGGAUGUUGUGCAUCACCACUGGUCCACAAGGCUUAUUUCAUUGUGAGAAAUUCCAAAUUAGCGAUGACAAAUAAUAUGAAUUUUCUUUGUGAGAGAUGACAGAUGUAUCAUUUUCUUUCCGAGAUGACAGAUUUGUGAGCUCAUAAUUAAAUUGGUAAUA